AUGGAGGAUGUCCAGCUGCUCGUCCUCCUCGGCCUCUUCUCCAAGCGUCCAUCCUAUCGCAACUCAGCUUCAGUUCCAGUAGAAAAUAACAAGUUGAGUAGACCGACUAGCUUUUUGCAAUUUAGACAUGCCUUUAUUCACAAAAAAGCAGGCAGUGUGGGUAAGUUUUCGACUCUAUGCAAUUCUCGGUGCAAGGGCCCCCGCUUCCUUGUUGUGACGUUGCAGCCUCACCGGCCCUUCUGCAGGCAAGAGUUAUGUCCAGAUGAGCUAACCCUUUACUAUCCAAACCUUCUGAAGGUCAUUAGCUCUGAUUCUUUGGAAAAAAGGUUGAGAGCUAUACACAACAACGCUAAAGAUGGAGCGGCCUGCCAUGUAUUAGGGCAUACACAUUUCUGUUGGGAUUAUGCGGUUGACAAUAUCAGGUAUGUACAAGCGCCUCUGGCAUACCCUCGAGAAAGAAAGCGAAGGAUAAAUGGAGGCCAAGGAUGGCUGCCGUUUUUUGUAUAUUGUGAUGGCUUCAACCCUGAAACAAGAAUAGAAGGGAGCCUGAGAACACUCAGCUUGCGCCAUGGUUAG
RNAcentral lists this ribosomal RNA (576 nucleotides) under Triticum aestivum (bread wheat). RNAcentral's name for it is "partial small subunit ribosomal RNA". The record is from RNAcentral. Lineage: Eukaryota; Viridiplantae; Streptophyta; Magnoliopsida; Poales; Poaceae.